Molecule: ribosomal RNA, 464 nt
Filed under: uncultured bacterium
Lineage: Bacteria
Description: partial 16S ribosomal RNA
Rfam family: Bacterial small subunit ribosomal RNA
Source: RNAcentral
CCUACGGGGGGCAGCAGUGAGGAAUAUUGGUCAAUGGCCGGAAGGCUGAACCAGCCAUGCCGCGUGAUCGAAUGAAGGCCUUCGGGUUGUAAAGAUCUGUUGACAGGGACGAAUAAGCAAUGCGAAUAGUUUUGUGUAUGACGGUACCUGUUUAGAAAGCUCCGGCUAACUACGUGCCAGCAGCCGCGGUAAUACGUAGGGAGCAAGCGUUGUCCGGAAUUACUGGGCGUAAAGGGCGCGUAGGUGGGCGCUUAAGUCAGGUGUGAAAACUCCGGGCUCAACCUGGAGACUGCACUUGAAACUGGGUGUCUUGAGGGCAGGAGAGGAAAGUGGAAUUCCUAGUGUAGCGGUGAAAUGCGUAGAUAUUAGGAGGAACACCAGUGGCGAAGGCGACUUUCUGGACUGUACCUGACGCUGAGGCGCGAAAGCGUGGGUAGCGAACGGGAUUAGAUACCCUUGUAGUC